GAUAAGUGCUAAAUAAUGCAUAAAUUAAUAUCUUAUUCAUAGCACUUAUCAUUAUUUUAAUUCACAUAUUUUUGUAAAUUCAACUAAAAAUUGAAUUAUCUUCAUCAUUGCAUUAUUAAAAAUAAUUCGAUUUUUGCUUGAUUAUAUUGGUCCAUCUAAUGUAUGCAGGUCAAAUCAAAUUCAUCUGGGAUGACUCCCGAACCCGAAUGACACGCACCCCGUGAAUCAGAUCUUCUCAAUUUCCUCUUCAACACAUGGCUAUCCCUAGUUCACGUUCU
This 278-nucleotide long non-coding RNA is filed under the name Phoenix dactylifera (date palm). Its description in RNAcentral is "long non-coding RNA (PDAC_LNC014771)". Lineage: Eukaryota; Viridiplantae; Streptophyta; Magnoliopsida; Arecales; Arecaceae. The record is from RNAcentral.